AACGAACGCUGGCGGCAGGCCUAACACAUGCAAGUCGAACGCCGUAGCAAUACGGAGUGGCAGACGGGUGAGUAACGCGUGGGAACAUACCCCUCGGUUCGGAAUAACUCAGGGAAACUUGAGCUAAUACCGGAUACGUCCGAGGUUUAAUCGGCCUUGGAGAAAGAUUUAUCGCCGGAGGAUUGGCCCGCGUCUGAUUAGCUUGUUGGUGAGGUAAUGGCUCACCAAGGCGACGAUCAGAGCUGGUCUGAGAGGAUGAUCAGCCACAUUGGGACUGAGACACGGCCCAAACUCCUACGGGAGGCAGCAGUGGGGAAGUAUUGGACAAUGGGCGAAAGCCUGAUCCAGCCAUGCCGCGUGAGUGAUGAGGGCC
This 373-nucleotide ribosomal RNA is filed under the name uncultured bacterium. RNAcentral describes it as "bacterial SSU rRNA". It matches the Rfam family "Bacterial small subunit ribosomal RNA", at positions 29 to 416 of the family's 1533-position model. The record is from RNAcentral.